AGAGUUUGAUCAUGGCUCAGAGCGAACGCUGGCGGCAGGCCUAACACAUGCAAGUCGAACGGAUCCUUCGGGAUUAGUGGCGGACGGGUGAGUAACACGUGGGAACGUGCCCUUUGGUUCGGAACAACUCAGGGAAACUUGAGCUAAUACCGGAUGUGCCCUUCGGGGGAAAGAUUUAUCGCCAUUGGAGCGGCCCGCGUCUGAUUAGCUAGUUGGUGAGGUAAAGGCUCACCAAGGCGACGAUCAGUAGCUGGUCUGAGAGGAUGAUCAGCCACAUUGGGACUGAGACACGGCCCAAACUCCUACGGGAGGCAGCAGUGGGGAAUCUUGCGCAAUGGGCGAAAGCCUGACGCAGCCAUGCCGCGUGAAUGAUGAAGGUCUUAGGAUUGUAAAAUUCUUUCACCGGGGACGAUAAUGACGGUACCCGGAGAAGGAGCCCCGGCUAACUUCGUGCCAGCAGCCGCGGUAAUACGAAGGGGGCUAGCGUUGCUCGGAAUUACUGGGCGUAAAGGGAGCGUAGGCGGACUGUUUAGUCAGAGGUGAAAGCCCAGGGCUCAACCUUGGAAUUGCCUUUGAUACUGGCAGUCUUGAGUACGGAAGAGGUAUGUGGAACUCCGAGUGUAGAGGUGAAAUUCGUAGAUAUUCGGAAGAACACCAGUGGCGAAGGCGACAUACUGGUCCGUUACUGACGCUGAGGCUCGAAAGCGUGGGGAGCAAACAGGAUUAGAUACCCUGGUAGUCC
RNAcentral lists this ribosomal RNA (742 nucleotides) under uncultured bacterium. RNAcentral describes it as "bacterial SSU rRNA". It matches the Rfam family "Bacterial small subunit ribosomal RNA", at positions 8 to 796 of the family's 1533-position model. The record is from RNAcentral.